UGGUGGAGUGAUUUGUCUGGUUAAUUCCAUUAACGAACGAGACCGCUGCCUGCUAAAUAGCCCAGUGAGUGAAUUUUCACUGACUGCUGGCUUCUUAGAGGGACGUGCAUUCUAUUAGAUGCAGGAAGAUAGCGGCAAUAACA
This 143-nucleotide ribosomal RNA is filed under the name uncultured eukaryote. Its description in RNAcentral is "partial 18S ribosomal RNA". It matches the Rfam family "Eukaryotic small subunit ribosomal RNA", at positions 1299 to 1458 of the family's 1831-position model. The record is from RNAcentral.